CCUACGGGAGGCAGCAGUGAGGAAUAUUGGUCAAUGGGCGCGAGCCUGAACCAGCCAAGUAGCGUGAAGGAUGACUGCCCUACGGGUUGUAAACUUCUUUUAUAAAGGCAUAAAGUGAGGCUCGUGUGCCUUUUUGUAUGUACUUUCUUACUAAGUAUCGGCUAACUCCGUGCCAGCAGACGCGGUAAUACGGAGGAUCCGAGCGUUAUCCGGAUUUAUUGGGUUUAAAGGGAGCGUAGAUGGGUUGUUAAGUCAGUUGUGAAAGUUUGCGGCUCAACCGUAAACUUGCAAUUGAUACUGGCAGUCUUGAGUACAGUUGAGGUAGGCGGAAUUUGUGGUGUAGCGGUGAAAUGCUUAGAUAGCACGAAGAACUCCGAUUGCGAAGGCAGCUUACUAAACUGCCACUGACAUUGAUGCUCGAAAGUGUGGGUAUCAAACAGGAUUAGAUACCCCAGUAGUC
Molecule: ribosomal RNA, 460 nt
Filed under: uncultured bacterium
Lineage: Bacteria
Description: partial 16S ribosomal RNA
Rfam family: Bacterial small subunit ribosomal RNA
Source: RNAcentral